ACACCUGCCUUGCACGCCAUGCAGUCGUAGCAGAGGGCGGUCUGGUCGUUCGACCAUGUGGUGCAGUCGGGGUCGUCGGUGGUAGUGUUGAAGCCAGUGGGUUUGAUCCAGACGGUCUCACUCUGGUAGGUGAAGUUGCAGCCGGUGGGUGGCUUGCAGCAUCCAGACUGGACAUAAGAUAGAUUAAUUAGCUGCAGAAAAAACAGUUUCUUUAUAGUGAAUUGAAAAUAUGUAAUGUUCAAGCAAAAUUCAACUGGCUGGAGUAGUGUCAGGGCUGUGACAUUAUGAUAUAGCAAGGUCAACAGGCCAUGCUUGAAUAAAAUCGGUGGAACGAAAAUGUAUUCAGAUAUGCAUUUGCAAAGGAAUUGUCAAUUAAAGAACAUUACAAAAAAGACCUAGAAACUGGCAUUCUAAAUGUCGGCAAACAAAUUGCAUUUAGGAAAGAUAACAGCUCAGCCAAAAAAUAUUAGUUCAUGCAGUGCAACAUUUUCAAGGGUGCAGACAAAACUGAGAGAACUCUUAAAUGAACAUUCAGCUCUCAAGGCUUAAGUAGGCACAUUGAUUAUAUAAAGUAGAUGAUGGUCUGCACAUUAAGGGUGCGUUUGGUUGGGAGACAAUGUAGAACGGGACGGUUCCGUCCUAGUUUUUCGGGAUGGGAUGAUCCCAUUUCUUGUUUGGUUGAAUGGGAUGGGGUCGUCCCAAUUUUUUGUUUGGUUAGAGAGAUUGCGACAGACGGGACGAGCACCGUUUUCUCAUUCUGUUAACACCGUUCGUGGGGCCCACCUGUCAUACUAACCGCCGAAUCUCAGGGGCCGGCCGUGCUCGCCCGCGGCGGAGCUCCCGCCCACGCCGGCCGCGCUCGCCCGCGGCGGUGCUCCCGCCCGCGGCGGCGGAGCUCCCUCCCGCGCCGGGCGCGCCCGCCCGCGCCGGAGCUCCCGCCCGCGCCGGCCGUGCCCGCCCGCGCCGGCCGCGGCGGAGCUCCCGCCCGCGCCGGCCGCGCCCGCCCGCGCCCGCCGCGCUCGCCCGAAGCUCGCCCGCGCAAACGGCGCGUGACGGGGGCGAAGUGGGAUGCCCCCGUCCGCUCGUUUUUCCCGGACGGGGACGUCCCGGAUCUUCACGGUAUAUUCCUCGAUAGGGAUGUCCCCGUCCCACUUGUCCUCCAACCAAACGCGGGACGAAGUGGGAUCGUCCCGUCCCGUCCCACUUCGUCCUCGCAACCAAACGCACCCUAAGAGUACUGCCGUGCAAAAGUUUCGAUAACCAUAAAUGGCAGAAACUUCAUAUAAUAGGUGCUGUGAUUAGCAGUACACCAUACCAGUUGCAGGCAGUAAUCAGUACUUAUGAAGGCCAAGUGUAGCACUAGUGGACUGCAGUUAAAACAGGGAGAGGUCCACAUGAUAAGCAAGGUCUAUCAAAAGUCAGCACCAUGAAUAAGCAGCAUGUAUUGUGAAUUCCCCAUAGCUAGCACAGCAAUCUAAAGCAAACACACAAAAAAAUGGAAGACUACCAUUUCAAUUAGUCACUAUCUGUCUCAUUGAUAGAUCAAUGCCAGACAUAAAUUGGAGACGUAACAAGAGGUACCCCACAAUUACAACUUAGAUUUGGUACAAUGACCAUAAAAAAAUUCUUCAGAAGAACAAUGCAAAAGAGUAAAUUACCAUUCACCAAAGCAGUGGGAUUAUGUCACAUUAUGUCACAUUGCUCUUGCUUCAUCAGAACAUCGUACAAGUAGACAGUUACUGAGUUACAUGGGCAUGCGGUUAAAUUCAGUGGCAUAGAUUCAUCCUAAACAUUAAUCCAUUGGUCACUACCAAAAAGACAUCAAUUGAUCUUUACCAACAAAUUGGUAUAACUGCGCAAUGGAUAAGAAUUUGCUUACUGCAUAUAAACUAACUGCACUGCGCUCAAAGAUAAUGCAAGAGGAAUUUACUAAUUAACAGACAAUGCAGCAUAUGAAUAGUGGGGUACAGUUCGCGCAAACUGUAAUGCCAGUGGCAUAGAUUCAUCAGAAACAUCUAUUCAUUAGUCACUACCAAAAGAUAAUAAUCGAUCUACCAACAAACUGGAAUAACAUCGCAAUGCAGUCAGAAAUUGCUUAUAUUGUAUCUUGCCAAGUAACUUGCAGUAACAACAACAAUAAUGCAAGAGGAAUUAACAAAUUAAUCGACAAUGCAGCAUAUGAAUCGUGGGGUACAGUUAACCUGAACUGAAAUACCACAUGCACGAACUUCUGAAAAUGGAAUCUAACUAUUCUUGUAAGGGUCCUACUCAAAACUCACCAAAACCGUACCAGCCCCAUGUGAACUAACAGAUAAGCCUGUCCCCCAUCAUUUAUAAUCUUGUGAAUUCUAACAAGGGAACAAAAAGUUCGAACCAGCUUUCGCACGUUCCCCGGCAAAUGACUGGAAAUCCAUCAAGACCAUGAUGACCAACGUUGACGAGAAUCCCACCUAACAAGAAGCUAAGGAGUUCAUGUGCACCAAUCAAGACGUUCUCAUCUCUCAAAGAGAAGAUAAAUCGACUCAAGCGAGCAAAAUCUAAUCCAAUCACCAGGGACAAUCUAAACUUCCCCGUAAUCAAGAUUAAACAACUCAAAGACAGAAAACAUUGGCCAACAAAUCUCCAACAGAAUUUUGGUAAAAUUCAACAGCCCAGAGAGGAAUAUCUAGAGCGAGGAGAAGAAAUAAGGAAUCCACCUGGAUCGGGGAGAGGUUGCUGUUGACGAACUGGGUGACCGUCUCCUUCCUGUCCGCAAGCUUCUGGCAGACCUUGCCGUCCUGGAGGCAGCUCCUGACCUUGGCCCAAUUCCCUGCGUUCUCGACCCUCCGCUGCAGCCAGGUGGAGUAGUCCCCGAGGCGGU
RNAcentral lists this long non-coding RNA (2860 nucleotides) under Setaria italica (foxtail millet). RNAcentral describes it as "long non-coding RNA (SITA_LNC003166)". Lineage: Eukaryota; Viridiplantae; Streptophyta; Magnoliopsida; Poales; Poaceae. The record is from RNAcentral.